RNAcentral lists this ribosomal RNA (776 nucleotides) under uncultured Neocallimastigales. Its description in RNAcentral is "partial large subunit ribosomal RNA". It matches the Rfam family "Eukaryotic large subunit ribosomal RNA", at positions 22 to 645 of the family's 3401-position model. The record is from RNAcentral. Lineage: Eukaryota; Fungi; Neocallimastigomycota; Neocallimastigomycetes; Neocallimastigales.
AUAUCAGUCAUGCAUAGCAUAUCAAUAAGCGGAGGAAAAGAAACUAACAAGGAUUCCCUUAGUAACGGCGAGUGAAGCGGGAAGAGCUCAAAUUUGAAAUCUUCAAGGUUCUACCUUGACGAAUUGUAGUUUAUAGAAGUGUUUUCUGUUAGUAGAGUGGCAAAAGUUCUUUGGAAUAGGACAUCAUAGAGGGUGAGAAUCCCGUAUUUGGUCAUUCUUUCUAGCUUUGUGAUACACUUUCAACGAGUCGGAUUGUUUGGGAAUGCAGUCCAAAAUGGGUGGUAAAUUUCAUCUAAAGCUAAAUAUUGGCGAGAGACCGAUAGCGAACAAGUACCGUGAGGGAAAGAUGAAAAGAACUUUGAAAAGAGAGUUAAACAGUACGUGAAAUUGUCAAAAGGGAAGCGUUUGACACCAGUGUUGUUUUUCCGAAAAUCAAUUACGAAUGUUUUGUUUUUAAGAAGUUAUGACUUCAUCGGCUUGCUUCUUUCUUUACGAAACUUUCUUAAUGCACUUUUCGGUUAACAAGUCAACAUCAAUUUCUUUUGUUGUAAAAGGGUAUAGAGGAAGGUGGCUUUACUUUCGGAGUAAAGUGUUUAUAGCCUUGUAACUCUGCAAUCGGAGAGAUUGAGGUCUGCAGCGUAGAUCCUUCGGGGUUAGAUACAUUUGUGCUAAGUUAUAGCUUUUCAUAGACAACUUGUUGACUAUGUUAAGUCUUGUAGCUUACUCGCUUAUGCUAUUUUACCUACGCUUAGGAUGUUGAUCUCUCACAGUCGAGC